UUAAAAGGGUUGCAAAUCGACUUAGAAGAGACCCGUAUUACACAGAUCCAGUCAGUGGAUAUGUAUUCCGCUCCAAAAAUGCUGUUAUGCAUUAUUUAGAGACUGGAGAGAUAAGCAGACAUGCUUUUAAACCCAAGAAUAAGUGCACCAAUGAGCUGACGUUGAUUAAUGAUGAAAGUCACGAAAUUA
This is a non-coding RNA of Prunus avium (sweet cherry), 189 nucleotides long. Lineage: Eukaryota; Viridiplantae; Streptophyta; Magnoliopsida; Rosales; Rosaceae. The record is from RefSeq and is a predicted model, not a curated record.